ACUUCCGGUCCUCUGCAGCCGUUCUGUCAAUGAAGCUCCUCUCUGCCUUGCUCACCCUCCACUUGUCCGUGUACCUCAUUCUUGUCGUGGAACAAGACCCUGGGACCCAGUGAAUGGUGGGACUGAAAGAGCGGUAACACAAACAGGGCUGAAACAUGCCCACCGCUCGCCACUUUGUGGGCGACGAGGAGAAACGAACUGCUGUGGCCCUUCAGGAAUCCCAGACCUAGAGACUCCUGAGCCAGGGCUGUGACACCCUCUUUGGGGCUCCGCAGUUUCUGGUGUCUCCAAGCUUCCGGGUGCCAUCGUAUUUCCCAGUGCCUGCAGUGGAAGCCAUUUGUGGUAACGCCUGGUCCAGCCAGUCUCACACGGAACCCACGCCUGUGCUGGCGCCUGGAGCUGCCUGCCCAGUGGCAGCAAGCACGCAUGGCUGUGUGCAGUGGCCAGACCCCAUGCUUAUUAACACACCCCUUGCUACUCCUCACCAGGCUCGCCCUUGGCAGGUGUGGGAUCCAGGUCAGUAUUAUGAGCCAAAUACAGCCUGCUGGGGCGAGUGAGCAGAAGAGGCCAGCGGGCCCGUGUAAAACUCAGGCAAAGGCACCACCAGCCGCAGAGGUUUCCAACUGAAAAAGUGACACGGUUUGAUCUUCGCAGUGGCCUGUGGCUAAGACUGAUAUUAAAGGAAGAAUUAAAAUCCUGAAUCAAUCAUGAACUUUAAAGUUAAGAUGAAUUCAAGGAUAUCAAACUUGACUGCAUAAGAGAGUAUCAUGUUUGGAGAGAAGAAAUAAUUUUAUUGCGAGACACAAAGUGGUGUCUGUCACUUAAAUCCUUCACCAAUCUACCUCCUGUACUCGUGGAAAAAAAGGAAUCAG
Non-coding RNA from Homo sapiens (human), 872 nucleotides. NCBI's taxonomy places the organism in Eukaryota, Metazoa, Chordata, Mammalia, Primates, Hominidae. The record is from RefSeq and is a predicted model, not a curated record.